UACAGAGGUCUCAAGCGUUGUUCGGAUUCAUUGGGCGUAAAGGGUGCGUAGGUGGCGCCGUAAGUCGGGUGUGAAAUUUCGGAGCUUAACUCCGAAACUGCAUUCGAUACUGCGGUGCUUGAGGACUGGAGAGGAGACUGGAAUUCAUGGUGUAGCAGUGAAAUGCGUAGAGAUCAUGAGGAAGACCAGUGGCGAAGGCGGGUCUCUGGACAGUUCCUGACACUGAGGAGCGAAAGUGUGGGGAGCGAACAGG
Molecule: ribosomal RNA, 253 nt
Filed under: uncultured bacterium
Lineage: Bacteria
Description: partial 16S ribosomal RNA
Rfam family: Bacterial small subunit ribosomal RNA
Source: RNAcentral